GGUGAAGUGGCUGAGGCAACGAAUAUGGAUGCCUCUGAACUACGGAAAAAGCUGGAAGCUGGUCGAGCUGCUAGAAAUAAGCUGAUUAAGCACAAUCUACGUCUUGUUUUGUUUGUGAUGAACAAAUAUUUUCAAGAUUUUGCAAAUGCGUCAAGAUUCCAAGACCUCUGUCAGGCAGGAGUUAAGGGUCUAAUCACAGCUAUUGACCGAUUUGAACCUAAUAGGAAAUUUAGGCUAUCAACAUAUGGUCUUUUUUGGAUAAGGCAUGCCAUAAUACGUUAUAUGACAACCUCAAGCUUCACCAAAGUUCCGUUCGGGCUUGAAUCUAUCAGAGUGGAAAUCCAGAAGGCCAAGUUGGAGUUGCUGUUUGAG
Molecule: unclassified non-coding RNA, 372 nt
Filed under: Hevea brasiliensis (rubber tree)
Lineage: Eukaryota; Viridiplantae; Streptophyta; Magnoliopsida; Malpighiales; Euphorbiaceae
Source: RNAcentral